RNAcentral lists this non-coding RNA (48 nucleotides) under Trichobilharzia regenti. Lineage: Eukaryota; Metazoa; Platyhelminthes; Trematoda; Strigeidida; Schistosomatidae. The record is from RNAcentral.
AUCCAGCUGACAAGUCCCAAAUAGGACGAAAUGUACGUUAUCCUGGAU